CAGAUAUCGACCAAGCAGAAAUAUUGAACACAGUGUGACAAAUACAACCACAGCCACUAUUCCUCCUAUAAGAGCAUGGUCGGGGCCAGCCUGGCCAGCCAGAGCAUUGGGAUCUGAGAAAGAGUGGAAAAUAUUUGUCUGGUAACCUUCUGUUGUGAUCCUGAGAAAUAAAAGUUGAAGAUGGAAGACUCACAGGAAUAAGUAAAGCACCUGGCUUUGAGGAUCAUGAUGGAAACACUUGCUCCAUUCAUGAAGAGGAUUCCAAUGCCAGUCUACACUAAUUGAACACCCUUCAGAGUGCUUCUUCAUCCUGUAGGACAUUCAUCUUUCCCUGUGUUUCCAAAUUCCAAACAACAGUGACCAGUGUCUCCAUGUCAAUUUUUCAUGAAUAAUUUAAUGCAGGUGU
This is a non-coding RNA of Oryctolagus cuniculus (rabbit), 406 nucleotides long. The record is from RefSeq and is a predicted model, not a curated record. Lineage: Eukaryota; Metazoa; Chordata; Mammalia; Lagomorpha; Leporidae.